AGAGGCCAGUGAUGAUCUUAUGGUUUUGCCUACAUCGCCUGACUAUAUAUAUGAUAAUGCUAUGGACCUUUCUGAGGCCUCU
Molecule: small nucleolar RNA, 82 nt
Organism: Syzygium oleosum
Lineage: Eukaryota; Viridiplantae; Streptophyta; Magnoliopsida; Myrtales; Myrtaceae
Product: small nucleolar RNA SNORD34
Exons: 1
Source: RefSeq, a predicted model, not a curated record